GAUGAAUUCGCUUUCGAUGUUAGUCAAGAAUUGGAAAUUGGCUCUGUUUCAGCUGAAGAAUUGUUUGAUGGUGGUAUGAUUAAACCAUCCCCUGUUUUACAAACUCAGAAGAAAAACAGAGUAGGAGUUUCUGCGAAAAACAAAAAAGUUCAAGAAACAGAGUAUUUAAGAAAAAGUAGUGUAACAGAGAGGGAAAGCAGGGGAAAACAGAGAGGUUCGUCGAAUGGGUUGUCGA
Molecule: unclassified non-coding RNA, 235 nt
Filed under: Hevea brasiliensis (rubber tree)
Lineage: Eukaryota; Viridiplantae; Streptophyta; Magnoliopsida; Malpighiales; Euphorbiaceae
Source: RNAcentral